GUGUCAGCCGCCGCGGUAAUACGAAGGGGGCUAGCGUUGCUCGGAAUCACUGGGCGUAAAGGGUGCGUAGGCGGGUUCUUAAGUCAGAGGUGAAAUCCUGGAGCUCAACUCCAGAACUGCCUUUGAUACUGAGAGUCUUGAGUUCGGGAGAGGUGAGUGGAACUGCGAGUGUAGAGGUGAAAUUCGUAGAUAUUCGCAAGAACACCAGUGGCGAAGGCGGCUCACUGGCCCGAUACUGACGCUGAAGCACGAAAGCGUGGGGAGCAAACAGGAUUAGAUACCCUCGUAGUCC
This 292-nucleotide ribosomal RNA is filed under the name uncultured bacterium. Its description in RNAcentral is "partial 16S ribosomal RNA". It matches the Rfam family "Bacterial small subunit ribosomal RNA", at positions 505 to 796 of the family's 1533-position model. The record is from RNAcentral.